This 72-nucleotide transfer RNA is filed under the name Haemonchus placei. It matches the Rfam family "tRNA". From Rfam's summary of the family: Transfer RNA (tRNA) molecules are approximately 80 nucleotides in length. Their secondary structure includes four short double-helical elements and three loops (D, anti-codon, and T loops). Lineage: Eukaryota; Metazoa; Nematoda; Chromadorea; Rhabditida; Trichostrongylidae. The record is from Rfam by way of RNAcentral.
GUCUCGGAAGUGUAAGGGAUAGAGCACGGUCCUCAGAAAGCACAAGCACGGGUUCGAGCCCCGUCCAAGACU